RNAcentral lists this ribosomal RNA (468 nucleotides) under uncultured bacterium. Its description in RNAcentral is "partial 16S ribosomal RNA". It matches the Rfam family "Bacterial small subunit ribosomal RNA", at positions 28 to 507 of the family's 1533-position model. The record is from RNAcentral.
GACGAACGCUGGCGGCGUGCUUAACACAUGCAAGUCGAACGGAAAGGCCCUGCUUUUGUGGUGUGCUCGAGUGGCGAAGGGGUGAGUAACACGUGAGUAACCUGCCCUUGACUUUGGGAUAACUUCAGGAAACUGGGGCUAAUACCGGAUAGGAGCUCCUGCUGCAUGGUGGGGGUUGGAAAGUUUCGGCGGUUGGGGAUGGACUCGCGGCUUAUCAGCUUGUUGGUGGGGUAGUUGCUUACCAAGGCUUUGACGGAUAGCCGGCCUGAGAGGGUUACCGGCCACAAUGGGACUGAGGGACGGCCCAGACUCGAACGUGAGGCAACGGGCGGGAGUAUUGCACAAUGGGCGGAAGCCUGAUACAGCAGCGCCGCGUGCGUAAUGACGGCUUGCGGGUUGAAAACAGCUUUCGCCUGUUACGAAGCGUGAGUGACGGUAACGAGUAAAGAAGCACCGGCUAACUACGUG